This 87-nucleotide small RNA is filed under the name Paenibacillus sp. P22. RNAcentral's name for it is "suhB". Lineage: Bacteria; Bacillati; Bacillota; Bacilli; Caryophanales; Paenibacillaceae. The record is from RNAcentral.
CGCGGGAGCCAUCGUUCCGGCGUUCUGAUCCAAAGCAAAGCUGAAAGGCCCUCGCGCAAUUGCGCGAGGGCCUUUUUUAUGACGGCU